CAGCCUGGGCAACAAGAGUGAAACUCCGUCUCAAAAAAAAAAAAAGUUUUGUGUUAUAUGGAUUCCAGUUCUCAGCUGAAAAAUCUCCACCUUUUCAUCUACUUUCUCCCUUGCUUCCUCCAUCUAAACAAAAACGCACAGAGUUCGAACUCUAAACAAAAACUCACAGAGAGUUCAGGGGUUCUCUGCUGCGACUUCCACUCUCUGGCUUUGUGUGCAUCCGUUUCCACGGGCUAUUUUUCCUCUUGAUUUUUGGCCCUGUGGUCUCUGAAUGCUGGAUGUCAUGCGCUGAAGCCUGGAGACUCCAGAUCCGGGAUGCUCUGUGGCUGCGUGUGCCCUACAGCAGCACGGUUCAGUAGGCAGAGGCCACUUCUACUACCCGGCUAAGGAAAAGAUGGGCAGAGCCUGCUCUGGAUGACGCUGUGUUCCAGCCGGCGGAGAGGGUCCCCCAUUUCCUCGGAACUAAUCCUCCAGGAAAUUAACAGACAGUUUGCUGUGGACAACUAGAGCCCUCCCCUUCCUUAGCCCUGAGCGAGGUAAACAAUUCUGCUCUGCCUUCCGGAAGUUUCAAAUUAGCUCUUCAACCAGCGUUUUCACGCAGCUUCCAGUCCUGCCACAGUCUUGAAGAAGAGAUCAGCUUUCGCGUCUUCAUUCUUGCCAAGAUUAGCUGCCCUUCGAAUCUCCCGUGUGUCAUUAAUCCCAGCACGAACAAGCACUUGGGAACUGCGGGCUGCAGAUGGUCUGCUUAUCCUACGGAACCCUCCUCUUUUGAGGCUUAACCCCUUUAGUCUUUGUUGCUUCUGUAGCUUUCUGAUGCCAUUAAAGAGAUGAUUUUUAUA
This 839-nucleotide long non-coding RNA is filed under the name Homo sapiens (human). RNAcentral describes it as "HSALNT0392100". The record is from RNAcentral. Lineage: Eukaryota; Metazoa; Chordata; Mammalia; Primates; Hominidae.